UACGUAGGGUGCAAGCGUUGUCCGGAAUUAUUGGGCGUAAAGAGCUCGUAGGCGGUUUGUCGCGUCGAAUGUGAAAUCCCGGGGCUCAACCCCGGGUCUGCAUUCGAUACGGGCAGACUAGAGUUCGGUAGGGGAGUCUGGAAUUCCUGGUGUAGCGGUGAAAUGCGCAGAUAUCAGGAGGAACACCGGUGGCGAAGGCGGGACUCUGGGCCGAUACUGACGCUGAGGUGCGAAAGCGUGGGGAGCAAACAGG
This 253-nucleotide ribosomal RNA is filed under the name uncultured bacterium. RNAcentral describes it as "partial 16S ribosomal RNA". It matches the Rfam family "Bacterial small subunit ribosomal RNA", at positions 524 to 776 of the family's 1533-position model. The record is from RNAcentral.